Molecule: ribosomal RNA, 565 nt
Filed under: uncultured Glomus
Lineage: Eukaryota; Fungi; Glomeromycota; Glomeromycetes; Glomerales; Glomeraceae
Description: SSU rRNA
Rfam family: Eukaryotic small subunit ribosomal RNA
Source: RNAcentral
AAUUGGAGGGCAAGUCUGGUGCCAGCAGCCGCGGUAAUUCCAGCUCCAAUAGCGUAUAUUAAAGUUGUUGCAGUUAAAAAGCUCGUAGUUGAAUUUCGGGAUUGACACAUCGGUCGUGCCUUAAGGGGUAUGAACUGGUGUAGUCAAUUUCUCACCUUCUGGAGAACCGCGAUGCCCUUAAUUGGGUGUCACGGGGAACCAGGACCUUUACUUUGAAAAAAUUAGAGUGUUUAAAGCAGGCAUUUUGCUUGAAUACAUUAGCAUGGAAUAAUAAAAUAGGACGGCAUGAUUCUAUUUUGUUGGUUUCUAGGAUCACCGUAAUGAUUAAUAGGGAUAGUUGGGGGCAUUAGUAUUCAAUUGUCAGAGGUGAAAUUCUUGGAUUUAUUGAAGACUAACUACCGCGAAAGCAUUUGCCAAGGAUGUUUUCAUUAAUCAAGAACGAAAGUUAGGGGAUCGAAGACGAUCAGAUACCGUCGUAGUCUUAACCAUAAACUAUGCCGACUAGGAAUCAGACGAUGUUAAUUUUUUAAUGACUCGUUUGGCACCUUACGGGAAACCAAAGUGU